Molecule: long non-coding RNA, 1311 nt
Organism: Salvelinus sp. IW2-2015
Lineage: Eukaryota; Metazoa; Chordata; Actinopteri; Salmoniformes; Salmonidae
Source: RefSeq, a predicted model, not a curated record
CUCGUUACACUGGUAUUAAAUAAUGUUACAGUAUCCAUUUGUGUUUUUAUUGUAGAUUCCCAGUAUGGCUGAAAAGUUGAAUGACGUGCCACCUGUAUCCAGCCUUGCAGGCCUUGUUGAACAGUGCUGUGGUGGUGAGCUUCAUGUUCUGCUGGCCCUUCAUCAGCCUGGUUGUUUUAUGGGGGGAAGGCCCACACCCUGGGCUGCCAGAGCUGGACCCAUGGACAGAUCUUUGAGUUCUUAGACCAGCAGAAGGAUAUUUUCAGCAGCCUCAACAUCAGUCAAAACUUCAACAGCAGUUGAAGAGACCAGCUUUAAUACCCACUAAAUUCAGCCCAGCACCUCAGCAAUAUACCAGUGACCUCUCUAUUGCUGCUCUAAGAGCAUCUGUACUUUUCUGUUUUACUGCCCCCACAUUCCACAAUGAUAUUCAGUCACAGUCACAAGGUGUCUCAGCCCUUUAAACUGGAUUACAGCUUUUACACUGUUUCUGGGUGUACUCAUGCAUACCUCCCUGUCUGUGCUCUUUGUUUCAGUGGCUGUACGAGAUGACAGUCGUUGUUCCCUAGCAUGCGCAUGGAGCAGCAAUUUGAUCUGGAGGACUUCCUCAAUGCUAGCAGUGUUGUUCAAUUUGACAUUGUGUCAUAUUUUGUUUUCUGUAAAAAAUAWAAAAAAAUCCCCCAGUGUAUCUAAGGCACUGUUACUACUGUAGCCUACCUUUCAUUACAGUAUAUUGGCAUUGAAUGAACUAUACUGCCUAUGACCGUUAUUUAUGUGCCUGUGUGCUUCUCUCAUUUAUUGUAGUUCUUGGAUGGAUUCAAUCAGAGUGCUCAGAAUUGGUCAGUUAACCUAAAUGGCUUGAAAUAAUACCUGACAAUGGCAGACGGGGCCUGCUGAACUUCAACUARGAUGGGCAAUUACUGCUGGUAUAUAAUAUAUAGGAGCAGCAAAUCUGUGUGUGUGUUAUUUUGUAUUUUUUUACCUUAAUUUAACCAGGAAAAUACCAUUUGUGGUUAGAAACCUCUUUUGCGAGAGGAACCUGGCCAAGAGGUCUGCAGGAAGUAGUCAGUGUGUACAGUAUAUACAAAGGGCAAAAUACAAUUCAAAAACAUUUCUCUAUCAGAGCUUUAAACUCAACAAUUGAUACCCUCUCCUCCAGUUUUAAAGUCUUUUGCAGCUCGUUCCCAGACCAAGGAGCYUUAUAGGAAAAUUAUAUUUAUCCUAUUUCAGUUUUGGCCUUAGGAACCGUGAAAGCUAGUAGCAGCUUGAAAGGGUGACUAUACAGUUGAAGUCGGAAGUUUACYUACACUU